Molecule: long non-coding RNA, 319 nt
Organism: Amblyraja radiata (thorny skate)
Lineage: Eukaryota; Metazoa; Chordata; Chondrichthyes; Rajiformes; Rajidae
Exons: 3
Source: RefSeq, a predicted model, not a curated record
GUGUUUUAUUUCUUUCAGGAGGAAGCUGGUCGCAAGCAAAGGGUUCGUGAUGAAGCCAAACCAGUGUCGGUGGUAGAUGAUAACUUGCUGAUUGAAAAAUUUGAAAAUCCUUUUUUGUACAACACGGUAUUGGCAGAAACACCUGAUGCCAUCAAGCAAGUCUCCGUCACCCUGGAUGUGGAAACAGCGCAUGCGUGGCUCGAGGUGUCUGAGGGUCGGAAGAGGGUGAGAUGGACCGUGACCCUGAGGAGGCUCCCUGACACCGGGAAGAGGUUUACAAACUGGGGGUGUGUGUUGGGAUCGGAAGGAUUCACUUCGG